This 385-nucleotide ribosomal RNA is filed under the name uncultured bacterium. RNAcentral describes it as "bacterial SSU rRNA". It matches the Rfam family "Bacterial small subunit ribosomal RNA", at positions 30 to 417 of the family's 1533-position model. The record is from RNAcentral.
AUUGAACGCUGGCGGCAUGCCUUACACAUGCAAGUCGAACGGCAGCGGGCCUUCGGGUGCCGGCGAGUGGCGAACGGGUGAGUAAUGCAUCGGAACGUGCCAUUGAGUGGGGGGAUAACGUAGCGAAAGUUGCGCUAAUACCGCAUAUUCUGUGAGCAGGAAAGCAGGGGACCGCAAGGCCUUGCGCUCUUUGAGCGGCCGAUGUCAGAUUAGCUAGUUGGUGAGGUAAAGGCUUACCAAGGCGACGAUCUGUAGCGGGUCUGAGAGGAUGAUCCGCCACACUGGAACUGAGACACGGUCCAGACUCCUACGGGAGGCAGCAGUGGGGAAUUUUGGACAAUGGGGCAACCCUGAUCCAGCCAUGCCGCGUGAGUGAAGAAGGCCU